AAUGGGAUAGCUGGGUCAAAUGGUGGUUUCAUUCCCAGUUUUCCAAGGAAUCUCCACACUGCUUUCCAUAUUGGCUGCACCAAUUUACAGUCCCACCAGCAAU
This 103-nucleotide microRNA precursor is filed under the name Marmota monax (woodchuck). The record is from RNAcentral. Lineage: Eukaryota; Metazoa; Chordata; Mammalia; Rodentia; Sciuridae.